GAUGAACGCUGGCGGCGUGCCUAACACAUGCAAGUCGAACGGUGAAGCAGAGCUUGCUCUGUGGAUCAGUGGCGAACGGGUGAGUAACACGUGAGCAACCUGCCUCUGACUCUGGGAUAAGUGCUGGAAACGGCGUCUAAUACAGGAUAUAAGCUGUGACCGCACGGUCAGCAGUUGGAAAGAUUUGUCGGUUUGGGAUGGUCUCACGGCCUAUCGGCUUGUUGGGGGGGUGAUGGCUAGCCAAGGCGUCGGCAGGCAGCCGGCCUGAGAGGGUGACCGGCCACCCUGAGACUGAGAGGAGGCACAGACACCGACGGGAGGCAACGGUGGGGAAGAUUGCAGAAUGGGCGAAGGCCUAGUGCAGCAGCGCCGCGUGAGGGAAGACGGCCUUCGAGUUGUGAACCACUUUUAGCAGAGAAGAGGCGAAAGUGACGGUACCUGCAGAAAAAGCGCCGGCUAACUACGUG
Molecule: ribosomal RNA, 467 nt
Filed under: uncultured bacterium
Lineage: Bacteria
Description: partial 16S ribosomal RNA
Rfam family: Bacterial small subunit ribosomal RNA
Source: RNAcentral